UCAGAUUGAACGCUGGCGGCAUGCUUUACACAUGCAAGUCGAACGGCAGCGGGGAGGAGCUUGCUUCUCUGCCGGCGAGUGGCGAACGGGUGAGUAAUACAUCGGAACGUGUCGAGAAGAGGGGGAUAACCACCCGAAAGGGUGGCUAAUACCGCAUAAAUUCUGAGGAAGAAAGCUGGGGACCUAGGAAUAGGCCUAGCGCUUUUUGAGCGGCCGAUGUCGGAUUAGCUAGUUGGUGAGGUAAAGGCUCACCAAGGCGAAGAUCUGUAGCGGGUCUGAGAGGAUGAUCCGCCACACUGGGACUGAGACACGGCCCAGACUCCUACGGGAGGCAGCAGUGGGGAAUUUUGGACAAUGGGGGCAACCCUGAUCCAGCCAUGCCGCGUGUAUGAAGAAGGCCUUAGGGUUGUAAAGUACUUUUGUUAGGGAAGAAAAGUCAGCUGUGAAUAAUGGCUGAUACUGACGGUACCUAAAGAAUAAGCACCGGCUAACUACGUGCCAGCAGCCGCGGUAAUACGUAGGGUGCGAGCGUUAAUCGGAAUUAUUGGGCGUAAAGCGAGUGUAGACGGUUAUUUAAGCCAGAUGUGAACUACCCGAGCCUAACUUGGGAGGUGCAUAUGGAACUGGGUAGCUAGAGUGUGUCAGAGGGAGGUAGAACUCCACGUGUAGCAGUGAAAUGCGUAGAGAUGUGGAAGAAUACCGAUGGCGAAGGCAGCCUCCUGGGAUAACACUGACGUUGAGGCUCGAAAGCGUGGGGAGCAAACAGGAUUAGAUACC
This 777-nucleotide ribosomal RNA is filed under the name uncultured Neisseriales bacterium. Its description in RNAcentral is "bacterial SSU rRNA". It matches the Rfam family "Bacterial small subunit ribosomal RNA", at positions 24 to 786 of the family's 1533-position model. Lineage: Bacteria; Pseudomonadati; Pseudomonadota; Betaproteobacteria; Neisseriales. The record is from RNAcentral.